AACAUCGCCUCUUGCAAUAUUCAAUGUAUAAGAGGUCCUACCUGCCCAGUGAUUAAAUUAAACGGCCGCGGUAUCCUGACCGUGCAAAGGUAGCGCAAUCACUUGUUUUUUAAAUAAAGACCUGUAUGAAUGGUAUAACGAGGGCUUAACUGUCUCCCCUCUCCAGUCAGUGAAAUUGAUCUACCCGUGCAGAAGCGGGUAUACAUAUACAAGACGAGAAGACCCUAUGGAGCUUAAGACAUAAGAUCAACUGUGUUAAGACUACUAAUUAAAGGAAUUAAACAAAACAAAAACUGACCAGAGUCUUCGAUUGGGGUAAUCGCGGGGGAAAAUCAAUCCCCCAUGUAGAAUAAGAUAUUCUUUAAACCAUGAGGCACACCUCUAAGUCACAGAACUUCUGACCAAAAGAUCCGACACUAGUCGAUCAACGAACCAAGUUACCCUAGGGAUAACAGCGCAAUCCUCUCCAAGAGUCCAUAUCUACAAGAGGGUUUACGACCUCGAUGUUGGAUCAGGACAUCCUAAUGGUGCAGCCGCUAUUAAGGGUUCGUUUGUUCAACGAUUAAAGUCCUACGUGAUC
Molecule: ribosomal RNA, 580 nt
Filed under: Hyphessobrycon panamensis
Lineage: Eukaryota; Metazoa; Chordata; Actinopteri; Characiformes; Acestrorhamphidae
Description: partial 16S ribosomal RNA
Rfam family: Bacterial large subunit ribosomal RNA
Source: RNAcentral